This 414-nucleotide ribosomal RNA is filed under the name uncultured microorganism. RNAcentral describes it as "bacterial SSU rRNA". It matches the Rfam family "Archaeal small subunit ribosomal RNA", at positions 459 to 872 of the family's 1478-position model. The record is from RNAcentral.
CAGCCGCCGCGGUAAUACCGGCGGCCCGAGUGGCGGUCACUAUUAUUGGGCUUAAAGCGUCCGUAGCCGGGUUGGGAAGUCCUCCGGGAAAUCUGGCCGCUUAACGGUCAGAAUGCCGGAGGAUACUCCCAGCCUAGGGAGCGGGGGAGGCCGAGGGGAUUCCCGGAGUAGGGGUGAAAUCCUAUAAUCCCGGGAGGACCACCUGUGGCAAAGGCGCUCGGCUGGAACGCGUCCGACGGUGAGGGACGAAGGCCAGGGGAGCAAACCGGAUUAGAUACCCGGGUAGUCCUGGCUGUAAACGAUGCGGACUUUGUGUCGGACAAGCUAUGAGCUUGUCCGGUGCCGGAGGGAAACCGUUAAGUCCGCCGCCUGGGGAGUACGGCCGCAAGGCUGAAACUUAAAGGAAUUGGCGGG